GCCUGGCGCGUCCGCCGAGCGCGGGGGUUUGUUUAUUUUCGCGGUUGGUAGCGGCGCUGGCGCUGGUUAGAGGUUCGCCGGUGACGUGAGCGCCCGAGUUGGGGGAGAGGACCAGAACCACCUGCUGGAGAAGGGGAGCUACGGGGGCCGGGCAGGGUCCAAACGCCUCACGUAGGCGGCGGCGCCACGGUCUUCGGGGUCACAGGGAAGAGAAGGGCUCUCCUCAAGCGGGUGGAAGGAGGGAGGCCUCCCGAGGGAGUGAGACUCUAGGCCACUCCCCCGCAGCAAGGCAGGAUCACCUGCGACGCGGAGAGCGGUUAGAGGGCCCUGGAGUGGAAAAGGGCAGUGGGACCUGGUAGCUUGGGUUCCCUGCAACUUGGGGUUCGACCUCCAGGCAAUGAAGUAGGGAUGGUCCUGCAAGUCAAGAUUCCAGUAGCAAGAGUGCAUCAGAUCUCUGUCGUAGUGGACUAAUUUUACAGGCGAAGUUAAGUGACUUACCCAAAACCUCACAGCUAAUAAACGGCAGAGCCGGCACCCAGCUGUACUGGCUUCCAAUUCUGUUAGCUUACCAGCGCAUCACAUUAUCUCCAUAAAUCCCCAUGAUUCAACUAAUAUUAGACGCCCCACAGGUAAGAUGCUUCAGAGUUAGAGGGGAGUUGAAGAUACCUUUGCCUUCAAAGAAGUAAGGAAUAAAACAAAGAUAAAACAGACAAUAAAAGACAAACCAUGAUAGGUGCCACGUGAAAAGUGGCAGAGUACUGCCGGGAAUCAAAGAACCGUGUAUAUCUGUCUUGGGGAUAAGGAAAGAAAGGCAGCAUGAAGGAGUAGGCAUUUGGGAUUGACCUUGAAGGAGACAGGGAGAGUUUUACAGCAAGCAGGGAUAGCAUGAGAAUAUAUAUGAAGGCGAAUCAGUGAAAGUUGUGUUGGGGAAAGAGCAAAGACUCCAGGGUAUGUUGAGAGGUAGAAAAGACAAAGGAGUAUGGGGCCUAAGAUACCAAAUGGAUGAAUUUAUAUUUAAUUCAGUAUUUUGAGUUUUUAUGGUUCAGAAGUUUGGGGGAAGAAAAGGAAGGUUUUUUUUUUUCUUUGUGCUAGUGAUUUAUCUGUGAGGGGAAGCAGAAAUCAGAGGUGGAAAAACGGACAGAUCUACUGUAGGCCAGGUAAAAAUGAUGAGUCUGACCUAAAGGGACAGCUAGGGGAAUUUAAAAGAGCAUAGUUGAGAGAUGAUGUGCAUGCAGUAUCUAUAGAAUUUGGCAACUGAUUGAUUAAUUGUGGGUAGGAAGAGAGAAAUCAAAGAAAGUGGAGGUUUUGAGUUUGUAGAUAAUUGCAAGAGAGAAAAGAGACAAUUACAAAGGAGAGGGAGCUACUUCUUGAGAGAUCAGUUUAGAUUUGGACAUUUUAAGAAUUCAAAGGGUUGUCAAGACAGCCAGAGAGACAUGGACACUAAUAAGUUAGAAAUAAAGGUUUUGUAAUAUGGGAAAGAGGACUGAACUAGAAAAUAGACUCAUAAAUAAUCAGCCUAGGAGUGAUAUUGCUGUGAGAUAAAAGAAGAAAACAAAGGUCAGAAUCUUGGAAAACACCCUCUUUAGAGUCUCGCUACUCAAAACGUGGUCAGUGGCCCAGCAGCACUGACAUGAGGAUGUUAGUUAGAAACUCAGAAUCUCAGGCUCCACCCCAGACCUGCUGAACCAGCAUCUUCAACUUAACAAGAACCCGAAGAGAUUUGUGUCACAUCAAAAAGUUUGAGAAGCUCUGAUCUAGGUGAGCCAAGCCAGCAAAGAAAGGGGAUGGAGCAGAAAAUGGGAGGAGAAUAGGGUAACGCAGAAUCAUCAAGACAAGGUAAAUUGGAGUUUCACAAAAACAGGGCUGGAAGGAGUGUUGCUCAACAAUAUCCAAAACCACAGAGGUUGAAAAGCACAAGGAAAGAAGGUAUGUUUGCACUUUGUGAUUAGGUAGUAGGGUCUUUGAGACCACAUUGUUCUUAUUGAAAGCCUGGGAAGAAAGAUCCCCUUUCUGGUCAAGUUUAGUCUAGGGAUCCAUCCCAUCUUCCCCAGUUCCCACGUGUAUGGGACAUGUCGAGAUAAGUAGAUAGAUUGGACAGUGGGAGAAAGUAGUUCUCUUCCAGUUGCUUCUAUUUUCUCAGCAAAGUGAGGAGCAAGAUCAUUUUGGCAGACUGCUAAUUGUCCAUCACAAUUUAGUCUCCCUUUCUCCCUGAAAACACAGACUGCUUUUCUCAGCCUCUCUUUCAGUUGCAUAUGGUCAAGUAUUAAGUUAUAGAACGUGAGCAGAUGUUAUGUCUGCCACUGUCAGGCCAAGGCGUUUACUUUGAGAGUACUUGUGCCUCUUUCAUGCAUUUUCCUUUCUGCCAGCUGGACCCUGGACACGGUGACUCUGAUUCAAUUAUGCAGAUGACCACAAACCUCUGGGGUUGGCAGAGCCACAAGAAAGAAGGUGCCUGGAUGAAGGAGAGCUACCCACUGACCUGGACACCCAAUUAUAGGAUAGACAGUGAAGUGCAACUACAGCCCGCAAAUGAAAAUGAAUAAUAUUAAUCCAGCCCCUCAAGGCAGGCGAGUAGCUGCUGUCAUCUGUCUUAGAGCUAUUGGAAUCCUGGAUCAUUGUGGGAAAUGAAAGGAACUGGUUUUUAGCAAGGAGACCAAGAAACUCUACUCCCUAGGGGCUAGCAAUGAGAGAAAGGAAGCCUUAAGUCUUUGAGCACAGGGUGACAGUUUGGGUCCUAUGUGAGAUGAUCAAAUCCACAGCAACAGAGGAAAGGACAAAAGGAAAAGAUACUUCGAUGGAAUCAGCAGCCAUUGAUCCAAUGCCAACUCCAAGACUGGAACGUCGCAAUGAUAGUUCCAAGGCGGAAAUUUGACGUAAUUCUUUUCGACACAGUUUUACAGGCAUCUUGCAUGUGAAUAACUCACAACUUUAAUUCAUGGAACAAAUUGAGAAAUAGUCUUUUGGGGGUUUGGUACUCCCUGGAAACAUAAGAGUGCUUUGGGCACCUCUGGUGCCUUUCCAUGCCUGCCUUCUCUGCUGUUCUUGCUACUAGUGAAUUCUAAAUCAUGGCCAAGUGAUGCCAGCACUGGAUAAUAUUGGCUCUGCCCCAUAUCUCGAGGGAAAACUCUAGGACUUGGCAUUAUAUGUGUGGGAAUCUGGCCUUGGUUGGCACUCCCAGCAUGAUAGCGGGGUUCUCCUGUCUGAAUGUACUCUGGGGUGUGCGCCACAAUUUCUGUCAUCGAAAUGGAGAUGAGAGAAUAUGCCCUUGGUGGGGACACCCCACUGGAAUUAGAGUGAAGAGAUCAAAGCUAGAGGUUCUUAAAUCAAAGAAUAUCUAAUAGCAAAGACAAAAACUUGCUUAAGGGAAAUGCAUACAAGUACUAGACCUAAUAUGAUGAAAAAUGCCAACUUCAAUAUAUUGAUGCAUGCUUAGUACACUUUCAGUCCUGCAAAGACAAAGUUUUUUGUUGUUUUUUUUUUGAGACGGAGUCUCGCUCUGUCGCCCAGGUUGGAGUGC
This 3517-nucleotide long non-coding RNA is filed under the name Homo sapiens (human). RNAcentral describes it as "HSALNT0353128". Lineage: Eukaryota; Metazoa; Chordata; Mammalia; Primates; Hominidae. The record is from RNAcentral.